AAGCAAUACCGCGAGGUGGAGCAAAACUCAAAAAACGAAUCUCAGUUCGGACUGUAGGCUGCAACUCGCCUACACGAAGUUGGAAUUGCUAGUAAUCGUGGAUCAGCAUGCCACGGUGAAUACGUUCCCGGGUCUUGUACACACCGCCCGUCACACCAUGGGAGCUGGUAACACCCGAAGUCAGUAGUCUAACCGCAAGGAGGACGCUGCCGAAGGUGGGAUUAGCGACUGGGGUGAAGUCGUAACAAGGUACC
RNAcentral lists this ribosomal RNA (254 nucleotides) under uncultured bacterium. Its description in RNAcentral is "partial 16S ribosomal RNA". It matches the Rfam family "Bacterial small subunit ribosomal RNA", at positions 1247 to 1500 of the family's 1533-position model. The record is from RNAcentral.